Molecule: long non-coding RNA, 246 nt
Filed under: Homo sapiens (human)
Lineage: Eukaryota; Metazoa; Chordata; Mammalia; Primates; Hominidae
Description: HSALNT0319917
Source: RNAcentral
CCAGCUCAGAGAACAAGAGGCUUGCCACCAUCUUGGAAGCGGCCUGCCACCAUCUUGGGAGUUCUAAGAACAAGGGACCCUAGUAACGUCUCCAUCUAACUCUAAUUAUUGUACUUCCUGAGGGCUUGGCUCUGAGAUUUGUUCCUACAUACUCUCUGUGGUUUCAAGCUCGCCUACGUUUGGACACAAACUAAACCAUUGGCUUGCCUAGGUCUCCAGCUUGCCGACCCACCUUGAAGAUCUUGG